RNAcentral lists this ribosomal RNA (407 nucleotides) under uncultured bacterium. RNAcentral's name for it is "partial 16S ribosomal RNA". It matches the Rfam family "Bacterial small subunit ribosomal RNA", at positions 28 to 526 of the family's 1533-position model. The record is from RNAcentral.
GACGACCGCUGGCGGCGUGCCUAAUACAUGCAAGUAGGACGCAGUUGCGAACGGGUGAGUAACGCGUAGGUCACUACAUAUUAGAGGGGGAUAACUAUUGGAAACGAUAGCUAAUACCGCAUACUAGUAGAUGGCCCUGCGUUGUAUUAGCUAGUAGGUAGGGUAAUGGCCUACCUAGGCAACGAUACAUAUCCGACCUGAGAGGUUGAUCGGCCACACUGGGACUGAGACACGGCCCAGACUCCUACGGUAGGCAGCAGUAGGGCAUUGUCGGCAAUGGGGGGAACCCUGACCGAGCAACGCCGCGGGAGUGAAGAAGGUGUUCGGAUCGUAAAGCUCUGUUGUUAAGGAAGCGGUACUUAACCAGAAAGGGACGGCUAACUACGUGCCAGCCGCCGCGGUAAUUC